Molecule: unclassified non-coding RNA, 337 nt
Filed under: soil metagenome
Description: partial contains 5.8S ribosomal RNA, internal transcribed spacer 2, and large subunit ribosomal RNA
Rfam family: 5.8S ribosomal RNA (bases 1-120)
Source: RNAcentral
GAUGAAGAACGUAGCGAAAUGCGAUAAGUAGUGUGAAUUGCAGAAUUCAGUGAAUCAUCGAAUCUUUGAACGCACAUUGCGCCCCAUGGUAUUCCGUGGGGCAUGCCUGUUCGAGCGUCAUUUACCCCCUCAAGCUCCGCUUGGUGUUGGGCGUCUGUCCCGCUUCGCGCGCGGACUCGCCCCAAAGGUAUUGGCAGCGGUCGUGCCAGCUUCUCGCGCAGCACAUUGCGCUUCUCGAGGCACCGGUGGGCCCGCGUCCAUCAAGCUCACCCCCCCAGCUUGACCUCGGAUCAGGUAGGGAUACCCGCUGAACUUAAGCAUAUCAAUAAGCGGAGGA